Molecule: ribosomal RNA, 524 nt
Filed under: Pichia kudriavzevii
Lineage: Eukaryota; Fungi; Ascomycota; Pichiomycetes; Pichiales; Pichiaceae
Description: LSU rRNA
Rfam family: Eukaryotic large subunit ribosomal RNA
Source: RNAcentral
AACCAACAGGGAUUGCCUCAGUAGCGGCGAGUGAAGCGGCAAGAGCUCAGAUUUGAAAUCGUGCUUUGCGGCACGAGUUGUAGAUUGCAGGUUGGAGUCUGUGUGGAAGGCGGUGUCCAAGUCCCUUGGAACAGGGCGCCCAGGAGGGUGAGAGCCCCGUGGGAUGCCGGCGGAAGCAGUGAGGCCCUUCUGACGAGUCGAGUUGUUUGGGAAUGCAGCUCCAAGCGGGUGGUAAAUUCCAUCUAAGGCUAAAUACUGGCGAGAGACCGAUAGCGAACAAGUACUGUGAAGGAAAGAUGAAAAGCACUUUGAAAAGAGAGUGAAACAGCACGUGAAAUUGUUGAAAGGGAAGGGUAUUGCGCCCGACAUGGGGAUUGCGCACCGCUGCCUCUCGUGGGCGGCGCUCUGGGCUUUCCCUGGGCCAGCAUCGGUUCUUGCUGCAGGAGAAGGGGUUCUGGAACGUGGCUCUUCGGAGUGUUAUAGCCAGGGCCAGAUGCUGCGUGCGGGGACCGAGGACUGCGGCC